This 993-nucleotide long non-coding RNA is filed under the name Cricetulus griseus (Chinese hamster). Its description in RNAcentral is "lncRNA (ENSCGRG00015036636.1)". The record is from RNAcentral. Lineage: Eukaryota; Metazoa; Chordata; Mammalia; Rodentia; Cricetidae.
GUGUAUUUUAAGGCAGCAGCCAGCUAGCCCGGCUCCUCACUAUGGCGGCUCUUCCCAGGGGUCUUCCCCCACUCAGUCUGACCUGUGUAAGUCCUGGUCACUACUGUGAUGAGAAACAGAGACUCUGGAUGGUUACAAACCCAGAAUUUACUCCCUACCAUAACAGGCCUGAACCUGCUCUGAGUAUCAAGUUGUGGCAGGUGAGUGAAUUCUCCAAGGAUCUGCUCUCUGACUUAUCCUCAGUUUUGGAUUAUAUCCCGUACAAGUGGGAGCAAUAUUCUCUGGUAAUGUACUGGGGAACAGACUCCCAGUUCUGGAAAUUAACGGACCAUAUCCAGAGCUGGCUAGAUGUGAGUCACCCAGGAUCCUGAUGGCUCUUCACUCUCCUGCAGAUUGGUGACAGAGAACAACUGGUCCUUAAGCUAGAGUGCGCCGAUGAUGUUGACAGCUCUUCAGGCUCCUGUCCCUUGCAACCUAGGUGAAGAUUUUAUGCAUCUGCUUCUCGGCUUGUUCCCCUGGUCUCCAGUCCAGCAGUGCCUCCUGCUCCGCUCAGCCCUGAACUCCAGAUCUGCUUCUGUGAACCUGUCCAAUGUCCUGAGCCUUCUCCCUCCCUGGGUACAGCUUGGCUUUCUUGUCUCCUUUAUGUCUCUGAUGCUGACAUCACAGAUGGUCCUUCUAAAGACCCCCUCGUCCCUUUGAACCCCUCUCCUGGGCUCCCAGUGCAGCAUGUCCCUCAGGCGACUCUGAUCUGGAGGUUCCUGUGGAGCAGGUAUGGAUGGGGACUCCAUGCCCUGUGGAACUCUGAGAUACCAUGAUGGCUAGAAGUUGACCUGGUGCUGGGCAGAGGACUCUGUGCUCAGUGGCUUGAAGACACAAUGGGAUGUGUGCAGUGAGCAUCUGGUGUACUUCUCCCACAAGCUCAGUACUUGGCUCCUAGAAGUGAUGCUGACCCCAACCCCCACCCCAAACUCGAUUUUAACUAAUUAAACUUUA